Molecule: long non-coding RNA, 240 nt
Filed under: Elaeis guineensis (African oil palm)
Lineage: Eukaryota; Viridiplantae; Streptophyta; Magnoliopsida; Arecales; Arecaceae
Description: long non-coding RNA (EGUI_LNC082415)
Source: RNAcentral
UUCUCUGGAUGAUUCAUAUUCCUUACAUAAGAUUUCAGUAUUUGAAUAUUUCUCUCGAUGGGGUACAUCCAUCGACAAAAUAUUGGGCCUCCAAAUGCAACUUCUCCUGCAAGGUAUACGGUAAUAUGCAUCAUAACUAUAAAAAAUGAUAGUGAAAAUAUCUUCUCCAAAUUAUAUAAUAUAGUUACCAUCCUUACCUUCAUUUCCUUCACGUCUUUCUUAAGUAAUCUCUUCGCACAA